GAUGAACGCUGGCGGCGUGCCUAAUACAUGCAAGUCGAGCGAACGGACGAGAAGCUUGCUUUUCUGAUGUUAGCGGCGGACGGGUGAGUAACACGUGGAUAACCUACCUAUAAGACUGGGAUAAAUUCGGGAAACCGGAGCUAAUACCGGAUAAUAUUUUGAACCGCAUGGUUCAAAAGUGAAAGACGGUCUUGCUGUCACUUAUAGAUGGAUCCGCGCUGCAUUAGCUAGUUGGUAAGGUAACGGCUUACCAAGGCAACGAUGCAUAGCCGACCUGAGAGGGUGAUCAGCCACACUGGAACUGAGACACGGUCCAGACUCCUACGGGAGGCAGCAGUAGGGAAUCUUCCGCAAUGGGCGAAAGCCUGACGGAGCAACGCCGCGUGAGUGAUGAAGGUCUUCGGAUCGUAAAACUCUGUUAUUAGGGAAGAACAGAUGUGUAAGUAACUGUGCACAUCUUGACGGUACCUAAUCAGAAAGCCACGGCUAACUACGUG
This 497-nucleotide ribosomal RNA is filed under the name uncultured bacterium. RNAcentral's name for it is "partial 16S ribosomal RNA". It matches the Rfam family "Bacterial small subunit ribosomal RNA", at positions 28 to 507 of the family's 1533-position model. The record is from RNAcentral.